This 200-nucleotide ribosomal RNA is filed under the name uncultured bacterium. RNAcentral describes it as "partial 16S ribosomal RNA". It matches the Rfam family "Bacterial small subunit ribosomal RNA", at positions 8 to 236 of the family's 1533-position model. The record is from RNAcentral.
AGAGUUUGAUCAUGGCUCAGAGCGAACGCUGGCGGCAUGCUUAACACAUGCAAGUCGCACGCCCAGCAAUGGGAGUGGCGGACGGGUGAGUAACGCGUAGGUAUCUGUCCAUGGGUGGGGGAUAACCUUGGGAAACUAAGGCUAAUACCGCAUGACACCUGAGGGUCAAAGGCGCAAGUCGCCUGUGGAGGAGCCUGCGU